GGUGAUCUACCCAUGUCCAGGAUGAAGGUAAGGUAAUACUUACUGGAGGUCCGAACCCACGCACGUUGAAAAGUGCGGGGAUGAGGUGUGGGUAGCGGAGAAAUUCCAAUCGAACUUGGAGAUAGCUGGUUCUCUCCGAAAUAGCUUUAGGGCUAGCCUCGAGGUAAAGAGUCAUGGAGGUAGAGCACUGUUUGGACUAGGGGCCCUUCUCGGGUUACCGAAUUCAGAUAAACUCCGAAUGCCAUGUACUUAUACUCGGGAGUCAGACUGCGAGUGAUAAGAUCCGUAGUCGAAAGGGAAACAGCCCAGACCACCAGUUAAGGUCCCCAAAUAUAUGUUAAGUGGAAAAGGAUGUGGGGUUGCUUAGACAACCAGGAUGUUGGCUUAGAAGCAGCCACCAUUGAAAGAGUGCGUAAUAGCUCACUGGUCGAGUGACCCCGCGCCGAAAAUGUACCGGGGCUAAACAUAUUACCGAAACUGUGGAUGAACCUCUUUAGAGGUUCGUGGUAGGAGAGCGUUCUAAGGGCGGUGAAGUCAGACCGGAAGGACUGGUGGAGCGCUUAGAAGUGAGAAUGCCGGUAUGAGUAGCGAAAGAAGGGUGAGAAUCCCUUCCACCGAAUAUCUAAGGUUUCCUGAGGAAGGCUCGUCCGCUCAGGGUUAGUCGGGACCUAAGCCGAGGCCGAUAGGCGUAGGCGAUGGACAACAGGUAGAGAUUCCUGUACCAGUGCUAAUUGUUUAACCGAUGGGGUGACACAGAAGGAUAGGGAAUCGCACGAAUGGAAAUGUGCGUCCAAGCAGUGA
Molecule: ribosomal RNA, 801 nt
Filed under: Listeria monocytogenes
Lineage: Bacteria; Bacillati; Bacillota; Bacilli; Caryophanales; Listeriaceae
Description: partial 23S ribosomal RNA
Rfam family: Bacterial large subunit ribosomal RNA
Source: RNAcentral